CCAAUUCUCGGGGUCUGGUGGAAAAUCCCAUAAGUCUUCGAUGUAAACGUAGUCUUCGUCUUCUUCCUCUUGGAUCCUCUUGAUUCUCUUGCUCUCCAGCACCCGAGUGUACCUGCGGAUGUUGGUUUCGGGGGUGUUUACGGUUUCAGGUGGGGCCUCUCCGGGUCGGGUGUAAGUGAGGGUUUCGGAAUCGGAUUCCUCGAUGUAGUCGUCAGAGGAAGAGGAGGAGUAGUCGGAGUCGGAGUCGGAGUCUGCGUAUUGCUGUUGCGACUCAGUAAGUUGUUGUGCUUGUUCUUCUUCUUCAUCAUCCUCUUCUGGGUCUUGUGACUCAGUGAGUUGUUGUUCCUCUUCGUUCGACAUUGCUUUGCAGUAGAAAGAAGGGAGAGGUUGAAGAAGAUAAGGUAGAGAAUGUUAAGAAGAAAAGGAUCGUUAGGAUUGAAGACAGCGGUUUAUCAUUUCAAAAGGGUUUUGGGCGUUUUGGCAUUUUCCAUGUCUUUUAAGUGAUUUUUGUGGUGUACCUAUGUUUGCUUUCUAUUUUCAUUUUGGUAAGUAUAGACAAAUGAUGUUAUCUUUUUUCAUGUGAAAUUGGUAGAUAAUAAUAUUUUACGCAUUUUAUUAAUUUGGUUCUAUUUUUAGAAACUUUAAUUUUAAAUUUUAUACAUUCUCUUAAUUUUAUCUUAAUUUUAAAUUUUUAAAAAUUUAAAAAAUUAUUAAAUGUUUGAAAAAAAUACAUAGAAAUUAAAAUUUAGCGGGUGAAACAAAAACAUGAAAUGGAUCGAAACAAGGGUACUAUUUCAAGGAACGAGGCACAAACAAUUUCAUGGUUCUAGACAAGAUUCUCCACAUCUUUUUCUUCGGUUAUUAAAUGUUAAGUUUUUGGGUUCAAUUAAACUUUCAUAAUGCAUCAUCCAUUGCUUGUGGACUCAUUUGCUAAACUUGUAGACUAGAAUUAUUGAAGAAUCAUAUUUGACACUCUUUUGAUGAACAUACAUUUAUUUAUAUAUUUAUAUGUUUAAUUAUUGGAUUUAAAUUGUUAGACUAUCCAAUAGGAACCUCCAUUAUUGGAUUUAAAUUGCUAGCUGGGUAUAUUUAUGUUGACUGCACUGACAGUAGAAAGCAAAUUUCUAUCUCCAUAUCAACUAUAAAGACUAAGCAUAUCUUUGCUUGAAGUUAUUGUACACAACACUAUGGUGUUAAAAGAAGUGUUGCUAAACAUUUCAAAGAAUAAUAUAUUGUACCUACGCACAUGAUUAUGAGCCUCCAAGUGUUAGAUGUCAUGUUGAUUCUUCAAAAGUGCAGAAAUGAUUUAAUCAUUAGUAUUCGUUAUAUUUAGACCGCAAUAUCUGCUGAGGAGUCUUUGUACCUAAGCACAUGAUUAUGAACGUCCAGAUGCCAUGUCGGUUCUUCAAGAUUGGAGAAGUGAUGGAGUUUUAUGGUGGUUUAAACAAAUAUUCUUGACUUGAAAUGCAAGGGAAUUUUUCCUUUAAACAUCAAUCUUGGGAUUGCUCCAUUUACCAUGUUUACUUGAUAAAAAAUAAAAACCAGUUCUCAUGAUUCAUAUUCGAUUGUUAAUGUUCAAAUUUUGAUACUAAUCAAAUUCAAGCUCAAAUAUUAAAGCUCGUGAUAGCUCAACUUGCUGUAAAUCACAAAGUAGAAUUCAAAUUUGAUUUCCAAUAUUCAAAAAAUUUUCAAACAAAACCCAAAUAUCUUCCAAGAGUAUAAAAUUUUCCCAUUUACACUCCUAGUCACAGCACUCCCAAUGUGGAAUUUUAAAUGAAAAUAAAACCAAUAGGACCAAAAGUAUUGAAGUUGAUCAUUCACCCCAAAUCCCAAUUGCCUGAAUGAAACUUUCGUUGAUCCUUCAACUUUCAUAUAAGAAUCAAAGCAUCCAAGAAAUAUUCCAGAUGAGAUUUUGCUCAUCGUCUAAGCUUUUUCUUUGUAAAGGAAAAAAUGUGCCAAAGCUCAAAAUGAUUUUUCAAUGUCUAACUUUGACGUUAUUUUUCUCUGUUUUUAAAAAAUAAAAGCCAAGUGUAUACUUCAAAUUAAGAUUGGCCAAAAAACCAAUCAAAUACAACCUCAACAAAGACUGACCCUCGUAAGUGCAAUCAUUCAAGUUCCUACAAUGAGGCUCCAUGCCUUUUAGUAUCUGGGUAUGAUUCCAAAUAACAAACCGGAAUAUGCAAAGAUAAGAUGUCUGAAUAUUUCUUCGGUGCAACAUGCAGCUCAGAACGGUUAAGGUUUCCAGGUUGUCUUACACGGCUUCUGGUAGUAGUUGAAGGACAUGAUAAGAUCUUGCAUAAGGAGUGUAACUGAGACUUCUUUCCUCUAGAUUGGUUUUGUGGUUGAAACUUCUGAUGGUCUUGCUUGAAUGCCCUCAACCUUCCUUUGUGGCCUAGCACCAAAGGGAAACUGACCGAAUCAAUUAUUUUCAAUGGAUCGCUGGCGCUUUCCACACUUGACGGAGGAUGGGAUUUUAGUGGUAAUCUACGUUGUUUCAGUGCUAAAAUUGAUUCUCGCAAUGUAGAUGGAACCUGUAAAGCAAAAGAUAGUAACCACUGAAAUCUGAAAUAUAAAAGCAAUGCAACUUUCAAAUGACCACCCAUUCAAUUAGCAUAAAGAAUUGUGAAACUAAACAGAAUAGACAUAAAUGGUCAUUUCGGUUACAAUCUGAUAUCGGAAUAAAGGCUUUUCAGACAAAUUCCCCAUUAGUCAAAGAGCAAAGGUGAAACAAUAAGACCAUUUUUUCCUCCACAUGCAAAUCACAGAAUUAGAACAGAAAUGAGAACAAAACAUGGAAAUAAAAUUGAAUUGUAUAAGAAUUUACCGCUGAAACAAGGCUGCAAGAAGCAAACAACAAUGAAGAUGAAGAGAAUGGAGGCUCCCUAGGCUUCUUUUCCUUCUGAUUGCCAGCAACAGAUCCAAAACUGGAAGGUGUAACAUCAUCAUCAUCAUCCUCUUCCUCUUCCUCUUCCUCUCCGUCUUCCUCUUCAUCCACAACUUUGUCAACAUCAUCUUUGGGAAUGGCUUUGUCCUCUAGGUUAGCCUCCACAGAAGUAUCUUCAUCCUCCAGCAAUCCCAUUUCCAUCUUCUUCUCCUCCUCUUUUUCUUUCUUCUUUAGUUCUUCAUCCAUGUCCUCAAUGGCCUCUUCUAAACACAGUUCAGCCUCUAUAAGAUCAAGUUCCUUUUCAAUAAGCUUCAUCUUCAACUCACCAGCCUUCUUCUUCUCUUCAGUCCACUUUUCUAGUUUAUCAAAUCCUGGCUUCAACGCAUUUUCUAUUGCCGUUAUUAGACGCUUCCAUAUAUUAUCCCUUUUUUGAAUCACUUCCCGUCCAUAGAACUCAUCAAAUCCAAGGGGCAGGAACUUAGCCUUCUUUGGAUCAAUCUCUUCACCUUCUUUCACAGGUGGCUGCCAAAAUAAUCGGACACCAUGUUCCUCAUCCUCAAUGUAAUUGAUCAAUCGUCCAGUUGGGGUAUGCAAAAUGAGUGGGUCUUCAGUAUAUAUUAGCUUUGACGGAUCUUCAGGAUCAGGUUCCGGUUCUUUGUUGAUAAGUACAAAUUCAGGAGUCUCAUCUGAUAAAGAAAAUGUAAACAUCCAUUUAAAAAAACCAAAAAAGAAAAAGAAUUCUUGAUAUCACUUUCAGAGACUAGGAAAUAAUAACUGAAGCGAAUAAAGAAUACCUUUCGACCACCAAUAUUCAAGCUCUGCAGGCAUUGGUAACCUAAGGGGAGCUUUAUAAAAUGAGUUUAGCCACAUUUCUCUUUCCUGAUCAACUUCAUGCACGUAUGUCUUCCAAUAAUCAGGAACCUGCCAAGUGCCAACUAACAUACUUAUUUUCUCUCCCUUUUCAUUAUUAAUGGAAGAAUCCACCAUGCAAAAGAAAAGCUUUUACUUACUUCGUAGAACUGCUUGAUAAAACCUGGUGCCAUCCACACAUCUUCCUCCUCAUAGAAAUAGGGAUGUUGAGGAUCACCAUAAGGACCUCUCUCUUCCCUAACCACUAGACAUGCAAGUCAAGAUUAUAUAAGGUUAAUGUUUAAAAUUGUUAGUGAUUAAUGUAAAAAGGCAUAGGGAUUAGGGAUUCCAAAGUAUCAUGUAGAGGGUAAAUCCAACAGAAAAAGUCAUGCAUUCAAAUUUCAGAUAAAUUAUACAGAACAGUCAUCAAGAGGCUCCAUGAAUCUCCAAAGAGCUUCCUUUUGCACCCAAUAAACAGAUAAGCAGAAGACUUCAACGGAGGUUUUAGCAUCGAUAACUUAUAGCCCAUAUUCAUCUCUAAAUAUAAGAAUCUACAACUUCAUCACAAGUCAAAACGUUGACUUAUCCAGUUACCACAAGGUACAAAGUUCAGCCACUUCUAUUUUCCUUUUAGUUUUCCUCUCUUUCUGUUUCUUACUUGAGCAGAGCUCUACAACCAUGAUCUAUAUAGCACAAGCUUGAACAUUGGUUGGCAUGAUUGACACUAGCAGACAGAACUCUUGUGUCAACCAUAACAGAUGCUUGUAGGGACAAUUAUAAGAGAAUUAUGUCAAAUAUACCUUAUGUAUUUUUGUCGAAGAAACUUGCAGUGUUGAGAACGUGGGAAUAGGACCAAGUCACUGGGUGAUUAACAGCAACCCUGGAAGCGAUGGCCUUCCCUUUAUCACUAUUCCUAGAACAACCUAUGGUGAUUGAUGAUCAACUCAUCGAAGGGAGACUGAAACCUUUAGGGCUCAUUUAGAGAGAGACCUAGAUCUCUUAAAAAAUAGAUAGAAAUUCUGCUUAUGUUUUUAUUCUCCAAUAAGUCCUUAAAUAGGGAUUAAUUACAUAAAACUAUGUUUCUAGAAGGAAAUAAAACAACUAAAUCCUAAUAAUGAAAAAUAGCUUAAAAUAAACUAAACCCAAAGUAAAAGUAACGUAAAAUAAAAAGUAAAUAAUUUUACUUUAAAGACUUAAACGGAUGCCUUUUUCCUCUUAUAUAUGCAACCAAUAAAAGUGUCCACAACACACAGAGAUCUAUCAUGUUUCUAUGUAUAAAAUCAUAGAAGUUACUGUGUCAAACAAGAUUUUGUGCCUAUGCAAAUCUAAUAGUUAAUAAAGCAAGACUACAUACUUCCAUCUGGCUUAUUAACAAACAUUCGAGCCUUAGCAGCAGCAACCUCUGCAAUACCAGCAUGCAUCUGAAAAAAUACAAUGUCAGAGAAAUACCAUAAUAUAGAAUUUACUCCCCCCCCCCUCCCAACUUCAUUUUGAACUAUUUAUUAAGUAGGAAAAAAUCUAAAAAUACCGCUGAAAUGUUCUCAUCGCAACCAUCUAAAUCAUCCAAUAGCUCUCCAAAAUAGAAUCUACCCUGCACCAUUACAAAUUAUGGAACACAAAAGCAGUCAAGCACUUUUAUAAGAGAGUUUGAGUAGCUGAAAUGGUUCAUACAACAAGUAAAGAAUAAUAUAUUAUGUGUGUGUAUAUAUAUAGUAUCAACCACAAACCAAAUUGAUCGAUGAAUGUGUUUCAUUCUCUUAAAAACAUUAUAUCUUAGCAUCUUUCUUUUGAAAAAUUUUGAAUAAAUUUUCUAUUUUUCAACUAUUAUGUUACUAGAAAGCAUUAUUUUUAAAGAAAACUGAGGUCUAUAAAGUAGAGGGCAAAACUGAGCUGCAGCAACAACUAUUGAAUCUUAUGUACACUACAUCUUCAUGGAAGAAAUGGAUUCAAUUACACAAAUUGAGACUCAAACAAAAUGGUUUAUAUUUUAAGCACAUACAUAGAUGGUGCGCUCAUUGACCUCAUAUACACCACAUCCAUGCAUUCUGCCAUGCUUCCACUGGCCAGCAUAACGGUAUCGACCCUUCUCCCUGAAACAGAAAUGUUUGUCUUAAUAACGCCACAAACUGAGAUAUAUACCUGCUAAAGUCUCAAAAGUUUGGCAGAAAAAGGUACAAGUGCCUCGCAUGAUACAACGUAAAUGCUCAAUAUGUGCACGUGCAGAUUGGACCAUUGAGUAGAUUAGGAAAAGCAACAUGCACAUGAUCAAAAAUUAAAAUGAGGCAGAUUCAAAUGCAAUGACGACAAUAAUAAGACAGAAAGAAAUAGAAUAUUUGAUAAAGAAACAUACGGUUUUCUGCCAAAAUGUUUGAUCCAUAUAUCACUCUCAUAAAAUGGUAUUUCAUAUUGCCCAUCCGCCAGGCGAAUGCUAUCCUCAACAUCCAUCUCUAACCAUUCUCUAUCUUCUGGAGUCAUGAAAUCUCUUGAUAUUAUUUUCCCUUCAGCUCGCAAUUUUGCUUCAAGCCUAGCAAAAUGGGAAAAUUCCAACUUCGUUGUAUCAUUUAUAAAUCCAUUGCUGAGAUUGUGAAACCUAUGCUAUAACAAAGUGCAUCAUAAAUAGUUCACAAAUUGUUACAUACUUGGAACCUGGCACAGGUUCAAUAUCAGGUAUAUCAACUUCAACAACCCCAUGACCUUCCAUGUUGUUUUGCAGCCAUUCACCUUCAUACCUAUAAAAGGAAGCAUCUUGUAAUUUUUUUUUCAGCUCAAAAGUACUUGAUGCAACACAUUAGUCCAAUACAGAACAAUUUAUGGAACCAUAAAAGAGAGGAAAAUGAAAUAUUCAAAGAGCACUCUCAGGGUUGAAUAAUGCAAACGUGAUCAUUUCAAUCCUGCCAAUGUUAUCAAGGGCACAAGGUGCACUCAAGUCACUAGAGCCAAGCAGGUAAGGAAUUUGAUAUUGUCCACUUUUUUAUCAAUAAUAAUAAUAAUAAUAAUAAUAAAAGAAAUGCAAGAGUACUUCAAUUGGGCAAGCUUCUAUUUGCACCUACCGCCGUACAAGAAAGCACACCUAGGUGCACCAGCCACCAGGUAUGUGACUGAUCUAAUGUGCCUUGCCCGAAAGGGUCUCAUUGCUUCUAUACCCUAGCACCUCAGUGCUUGACAUCGCUAACUCCUACAACUACAAACAAUCUUAUCUGCAUAUUUAAGGAUCCUUUGAUCCAGGAUGGUACGAGAACAUAUGUAUGAAGAAAGCAGAAAACAGCAUUAUGAUAAAGUAAAGAGAUACAAACAUACAAGAAAUCAAGACUGAAGAGUUAAGCAUUGACAAACCUGACCAGCCCCUGUUCUGCAACAUAAACACCUUUGCCAUGAGCCAAAUCAUCCCAAACCGUGCCUUCAUACCUUAAACAAAAUGCAGAAUGACUAUAAUGAGUAAUCAAACAAGUCAAAGCAAAACCAGAAUCAGGCAUACCGUUACCCGGAACUUCAAACAUGUCAAAAGCAAACUACUGGAUUAAAAACGAGUGGAGGACUGACUUUCAACAUAAAGCCACAAUUUUGCUUCGUGCAAUUGACCAAGUUCAAACUUAUCCAAAUGCACAUUUAGCUACCUCAUUUACAAACUCCCCAGACCUAAAUAAACUACCAUACUGCAAUAAAGUUGCAUGCCUUAACAAGACAAAUAGUAACAAAAUGAGGGGAAAAGAGUAAGAGAGAGAGUCGGUUUAACAUACGAGCUUCCAUCAGGGAAAAUGUAGCUGACCCAAUUGAGAAACUCCUCAAUUCUAUCCAACUCUUCAAUAACUGCUUUGGGGUUCGAAAUAUCAUAAUGAUUGUCCGGUAUAGCCGGAUAAGGCUUCCGAUAAGGAACAUAAAACGGGGCAAUCCCCGGGUCCCGGCCCUCCUUAAUCUCAUCCCUAACAAUUUCCCAAUCUUCCUCAUCAGCCCAAACAGGGUCCCAACCGGGUUUGGUCAUCUCCAGCGGAGCAUCCACCCAAUACUCCUUCAAAUCCUCUUCCCGCCAAUUCUCGGGGUCUGGUGGAAAAUCCCAUAAGUCUUCGAUGUAAACGUAGUCUUCGUCUUCUUCCUCUUGGAUCCUCUUGAUUCUCUUGCUCUCCAGCACCCGAGUGUACCUGCGGAUGUUGGUUUCGGGGGUGUUUACGGUUUCAGGUGGGGCCUCUCCGGGUCGGGUGUAAGUGAGGGUUUCGGAAUCGGAUUCCUCGAUGUAGUCGUCAGAGGAAGAGGAGGAGUAGUCGGGGUCGGAGUCGGAGUCUGCGUAUUGCUGUUGCGACCCAGUAAGUUGUUGUGCUUGUUCUUCUUCUUCAUCAUCCUCUUCUGGGUCUUGUGACUCAGUGAGU
Molecule: long non-coding RNA, 8094 nt
Filed under: Gossypium barbadense (sea-island cotton)
Lineage: Eukaryota; Viridiplantae; Streptophyta; Magnoliopsida; Malvales; Malvaceae
Description: long non-coding RNA (GBAR_LNC017748)
Source: RNAcentral